AGGGCAUCACCUUUACCUUCGCACACAAGUUUGGAGCCCAAAAUUUCGUCCCCAAAACUCUCAUCAAGCACAUAGAUCCUAAAAUUCCUCUAGAGUAUUCUCUAAGUCUUCCCAAUUAAAAUUUAAAUUUCAAAACUCUAAAUCUUAAAAAACCAAAAACAAAUAAAACAAUCCAAAAAACUCCAAAAAUACACUAUUACAUUGAAAUUUCUGCACUGUCAGUUAAGAAUCUGAGUUCCUGGUGACCUUGAGUUCAAUUUCAAGCCGUUUUUGAAUUUAUUCAAGCUAUUUUCGUUUGUUUUAGUUGAUGAGGUUUCAGAGGUAUUUCUGGAUUUGAUUUCGAAGUCACGGGGGUUUUGUUCAAGCUGAUUUCGACUGUUUUGUUGGCAUCUGUUUUGUUUGGAAUUAUCCUUCUACUGUUGAACUCGUUUCUGGGCUGAACUUGUUGUGUUUCCUGCUGUUAGAAAAUUAUUCUGCUCGAAUCUACUUUUAUUGAUGAUCGUCUUCUUAUUCUUCUUGUAUUUCGACAUCCAUGUACACAUCUCAAGACUCCCUUGAUGUAGCUUCAUCUGUUGAGAUGUGAAAUGAAAUUAA
RNAcentral lists this long non-coding RNA (594 nucleotides) under Nicotiana benthamiana. RNAcentral describes it as "long non-coding RNA (NBEN_LNC013639)". The record is from RNAcentral. Lineage: Eukaryota; Viridiplantae; Streptophyta; Magnoliopsida; Solanales; Solanaceae.